AUGGCUUCUCACCUCCGCUUAUUCGCCUUUGUUCCAAACGCGAUUCUCCUCCUCUAUCGCUUCUUCUCUUAUCUGCAGAGGCCUUUCAUUGCUACUUUUCCGACUAAUUCUCACAACACUGUCGUGUUCAAUACGAUUGUCGCCUCGCUCUCUUCUCUUCGCCGAAUUCGUCAUAGAUUCGAGCCAACGGUGCAAAUAACGAAGAAGAAGGAAUCACUUACAUGCCAGAGACACUCUGGUGGCUUCUUCGUUCGUGUCGAGAUCGAGUGGAAAACCGGAAUAUUCUCCAGAGAUCUUGAUUGUUGUUGCAGAUGA
Molecule: non-coding RNA, 315 nt
Organism: Vicia faba (fava bean)
Lineage: Eukaryota; Viridiplantae; Streptophyta; Magnoliopsida; Fabales; Fabaceae
Source: the annotation of a GenBank genome assembly